AGCGAACGUUAGCGGCGCGCCUAACACAUGCAAGUCGCACGAGAAAGGGAGCAAUCCCCGGUACAGUGGCGCACGGGUGCGUAACACGUAGGUAAUCAACCCUCUGGUUGGGGAUAACACUUCGAAAGGAGUGCUAAUACCCGGUAUGGCGCAGCGGUCUUCGGAUCGCGGCGAGAAAGACCCGCAAGGGUUGCCAGAGGACGAGCCUGCGGCCCAUCAGCUAGUUGGCGAGGUAACGGCUCACCAAGGCGAAGACGGGUAGCUGGUUUGAGAGAAUGAUCAGCCACACUGGCACUGGAACACGGGCCAGACUCCUACGGGAGGCAGCAGUGAGGAAUAUUGGGCAAUGGGCGAAAGCCUGACCCAGCCACGCCGCGUGAGUGAUGAAGGCCCUCGGGUCGUAAAGCUCUGUGGAGAGGGACGAAAACCCUGGUUUCAAAUAGGCUCCAGGCUUGACGGUACCUCUUUAGCAAGCACCGGCUAACUCUGUG
This 491-nucleotide ribosomal RNA is filed under the name uncultured bacterium. Its description in RNAcentral is "bacterial SSU rRNA". It matches the Rfam family "Bacterial small subunit ribosomal RNA", at positions 29 to 507 of the family's 1533-position model. The record is from RNAcentral.